AUAUCAAUAAGCGGAGGAAAAGAAACCAACAGGGAUUGCCUUAGUAACGGCGAGUGAAGCGGCAAAAGCUCAAAUUUGAAAUCUGGCACCUUCGGUGUCCGAGUUGUAAUUUGAAGAAGGUAACUUUGGAGUCAGCUCUUGUCUAUGUUCCUUGGAACAGGACGUCACAGAGGGUGAGAAUCCCGUGCGAUGAGAUGUCUGAUUCUAUGUAAAGUGCUUUCGAAGAGUCGAGUUGUUUGGGAAUGCAGCUCUAAGUGGGUGGUAAAUUCCAUCUAAAGCUAAAUAUUGGCGAGAGACCGAUAGCGAACAAGUACAGUGAUGGAAAGAUGAAAAGAACUUUGAAAAGAGAGUGAAAAAGUACGUGAAAUUGUUGAAAGGGAAGGGUUUGAGAUCAGACUUGGUAUUUUGUAUGUCUUGCUUUCGGGUGGGGCCUCUACAGUUUACUGGGCCAGCAUCGGUUUGGACGGUAGGAUAAUGACAUUGGAAUGUGGCACCACUUCGGUGGUGUGUUAUAGACUUUGUUGAUACUGCCUGUCUAGAC
Molecule: ribosomal RNA, 541 nt
Filed under: Scheffersomyces stipitis
Lineage: Eukaryota; Fungi; Ascomycota; Pichiomycetes; Serinales; Debaryomycetaceae
Description: eukaryotic LSU rRNA
Rfam family: Eukaryotic large subunit ribosomal RNA
Source: RNAcentral